CCUACGUGUGGCAGCAGUGAGGGAUAUUGGUCAAUGGGGGAAACCCUGAACCAGCAACGCCGCGUGAGGGAAGACGGUUCUCGGAUUGUAAACCUCUGUCCUCUGUGAAGAUACUGACGGUAGCAGAGGAGGAAGCUCCGGCUAACUACGUGCCAGCAUCCGCGGUAAUCCGUAGGGCGCAAGCGUUGUCCGGAUUUAUUCGGUGGAAAGGGUGCGUAGGCGGCCGUGCAAGUCAGAAGUGAAAUCCAUGGGCUUAACCCGUGAACUGCUUUUGAAACUGUAGGGCUUGAGUGAAGUAGAGGCAGGCGGAAUUCCUGGUGUAGCGGUGAAAUGCGUAGAGAUCGGGAGGAACACCAGUGGAGAAGGCGGCCUGCUGGGCUUUAACUGACGCUGAGGCACGAAGGCCAGGGGAGCGAAAGGGAUUAGAUACCCUGGUAGUC
RNAcentral lists this ribosomal RNA (440 nucleotides) under uncultured bacterium. RNAcentral's name for it is "partial 16S ribosomal RNA". It matches the Rfam family "Bacterial small subunit ribosomal RNA", at positions 338 to 795 of the family's 1533-position model. The record is from RNAcentral.